GGCGAACGGGUGAGUAAUACUUGGGUAACGUACCUCCGAGAUCGGGACAACAGACCGAAAGGUUUGCUAAUACCGGAUAAGACCACAUCCUCCACGGAGGAAGGGGUCAAAGAUGGCGCAAGCUAUCACUUGGAGAUCGGCUCAAGCACCAUUAGCUAGUUGGCGGGGUAACGGCCCACCAAGGCUACGAUGGUUAGCCGACCUGAGAGGGUGAUCGGCCACACUGGGACUGAGAUACGGCCCAGACUCCUACGGGAGGCAGCAGUUUGGAAUAUUCCACAAUGGGCGAAAGCCUGAUGGAGCGACACCGCGUGGAGGAUGACGGUCUUCGGAUUGUAAACUCCUUUAGGCCUGGAUGAAGAUUCCAAGGUGAAUAAUCUUGGAAUUUGACAGUACAGGCAGAAUAAGCCACGGCUAACUCUGUGCCAGCAGCCGCGGUAAUACAGAGGUGGCUAACGUUAUCCGGAAUUACUGGGUGUAAAGGGUCCGCAGGCGGUCUUGUAAGUCAAAGGUGAAAUAAUCCGGCUCAACCGGGUUUCUGCCUUUGAUACUGCAGGACUUGAGUACGGAAGA
This 573-nucleotide ribosomal RNA is filed under the name uncultured bacterium. RNAcentral's name for it is "bacterial SSU rRNA". It matches the Rfam family "Bacterial small subunit ribosomal RNA", at positions 97 to 655 of the family's 1533-position model. The record is from RNAcentral.